AAUAGGUAUGCUUAGGGAGGAGCUUGCGUCACAUUAGUUAGUUGGUGGGGUAAAGGCCUACCAAGACUAUGAUGUGUAGCCGGGCUGAGAGGUUGAACGGCCACAUUGGGACUGAGACACGGCCCAAACUCCUACGGGAGGCAGCAGUAGGGAAUUUUCGGCAAUGGAGGAAACUCUGACCGAGCAACGCCGCGUGAACGAUGAAGUAUUUCGGUACGUAAAGUUCUUUUAUUAGGGAAGAAUAAAUGAUGGAAAAAUCAUUCUGACGGUACCUAAUGAAUAAGCCCCGGCUAACUAUGUGCCAGCAGCCGCGGUAAUACAUAGGGGGCAAGCGUUAUCCGGAAUUAUUGGGCGUAAAGGGUGCGUAGGCGGUUAAAUAAGUUUAUGGUCUAAGUGCAAUGCUCAACAUUGUGAUGCUAUAAAAACUGUUUAGCUAGAGUAAGAUAGAGGCAAGUGGAAUUCCAUGUGUAGUGGUAAAAUGCGUAAAUAUAUGGAGGAACACCAGUAGCGAAGGCGGCUUGCUGGGUCUUUACUGACGCUGAGGCACGAAAGCGUGGGGAGCAAACAGGAUUAGAUACCCUGGUAGUCCACGCCGUAAACGAUGAGUACUAAACGUUGGGUAAAACCAGUGUUGAAGUUAACACAUUAAGUACUCCGCCUGAGUAGUACGUACGCAAGUAUGAAACUUAAAGGAAUUGACGGGACUCCGCACAGCGGUGGAUCAUGUUGUUUAAUUCGAAGGUACCCGAAAAACCUCACCAGGUCUUGACAUGCUUCUGCAAAGCUGUAGAAACACAGUGGAGGUUAUCAGUUGCACAGGUGGUGCAUGGUUGUCGUCAGCUCGUGUCGUGAGAUGUUGGGUUAAGUCCCGCAACGAGCGCAACCCUUAUUGUUAGUUACCAGCACGUAAUGGUGGGGACUUUAGCAAGACUGCCAGUGAUAAAUUGGAGGAAGGUGGGGACGACGUCAAAUCAUCAUGCCCCUUAUGACCUGGGCUACAAACGUGAUACAAUGGCUGUUACAAAGGGUAGCUGAAGCGCAAGUUUUUGGCGAAUCUCAAAAAAACAGUCUCAGUUCGGAUUGAAGUCUGCAACUCGACUCAUGAA
This 1106-nucleotide ribosomal RNA is filed under the name Indian Luffa little leaf phytoplasma. Its description in RNAcentral is "bacterial SSU rRNA". It matches the Rfam family "Bacterial small subunit ribosomal RNA", at positions 208 to 1324 of the family's 1533-position model. The record is from RNAcentral. Lineage: Bacteria; Bacillati; Mycoplasmatota; Mollicutes; Acholeplasmatales; Acholeplasmataceae.